This is a long non-coding RNA of Macaca fascicularis (crab-eating macaque), 2868 nucleotides long. Lineage: Eukaryota; Metazoa; Chordata; Mammalia; Primates; Cercopithecidae. The record is from Ensembl.
UUUUUUUUUUUUUUUUUUGACGUGGAGUUUCACUCUUGUUCCCCAGGUUGGAGUGCAGUGGUGUGAUCUUGGCUCACUGCAACCUCCGCCUCCUGGGUUCAAGCGAUUCUCCUGCCUCAGCCUCCAGAGUAGCUGGGAUUACAGGCAUGCGCCACUAUGCCAGGCUAGUUUUGUAUUUUUAAUAGAGAUAGGGUUUCUCCCAUGUUGGUCAGGCUGGAUAACAUUUUUAUUUCCCCUCGCAAGCCCUUCGCACCAACAUGGAGGACUUCUUUUUGACUGCUUUAUUCUUCAUGGUCUUUUCCAAGAGAUUCAAAUGCUCCUUAUUCUUUAAGUGGGGUUCACUAGGCAGAGGCAAAAUCUGUCUCCACCAUCUUUAAACUGUGUACAAGUUUGGAAGUCACCUGAAAUCACACCCUGAGCAGGGCAUACUUGUCCUGAGUAGUAAGCCAUGGUGUCCUCUCCUCAGGGUGGGGAAGCAACACACACAAUGCUAAAAAUCAACACCAAAAACAAACACAAAGUCUGCCUUGUACUACACAUGUGUGAAUGAUCCUCCCAUUAACAGGAGUGACAAACUUCUGAAUUUUUAAAAUGUGUUUCAGCAAUCAUUAUAUCACAGAGGAUGCAAUCAAGGAAACCAAGCUCAGAUUCAUUCACAGUUAAUGGGGUACACUGAGCCUGGCAGCCAGUUCUCAUGCCAGGACAGUGAAGGCUUGUGAUAAAGCUCUUUCCUAGCUUUGGUAACAGGUAUCAGGUUCUGGAGCCGUGAAGAGAACAGCAGAUCCCAAGAGCGCAUGUCAUGUUUUCAACAUUAGGUACUCUUCUAAUUUCUCAUCAAAAAGUAGGCGGCUCCCUAGAGCAGCUUAUUUAGAGGCUGAGGGUGGCCUCCGGUAGUUCUCAUCAUAAAUCAAACAUUACAGCUGCCAGCCCCUUGAGGCUAAGCGUUCUGCUGAUAUGCUCCAGAUCAGAAAAUUCUUGUUAGGGACCUGUGACACUCACUCAGGAUGUGACAUGGUGGCCAACAGUUGGCCUGUCCUGAAAGCAGGGUCUCAAUAUAAGGGGCAGAGGGCUCAGGCAGCACCCCUGCCCAGCCUGACCACUUUAGAACCGGGCUAGUCUCUGGGGGCCUGGCCUUUCUGCAGGUGGCUGAGGGUGAGGGUGCCGGGACCCUAGACAGGCUUCACUACCAGAUCCUCGGCUGACCCUCUCCAGGGGCUGGCAGGUCUCACGGUACUUAUGCUGCACUUGACUGUGCCCUGGUCUCAGCUCUCCACAACACUCUACAUGUAGAUGCUGUUUCAGUUACUUGAAGAAGAAAAAAAACAAAACAAAAAACCAAAGCAUUCCCUCUUCAUUUUCCUGAUCUGUUUUGUGCUGCCUUGCCCUUGUAUCUCCUCUGUCCCUUCCUCAGCUGUUUCAGAUUAAAUGAUAAUCUGGUUCUAGGACAUUCUGUAAGACAUUCUGCCUGAAAUCCAACAAACACUAGAAAAGGAGAAUAAAUGCGAUACCACAUGUCUGAAAAGAAUUCAACAUUUUAAAGUUGAAACACAUUGGAGGGUUGCCUUUCUCACUCCCAAAGUGGCUCCCAGGGUCUGUAAAACUGCAAAGGCAAGCAGCUAUUUUGUUAGUUACUUUGCAUGUUUCUCUGAACUCAGGACAGAAGUUCUCAGGACCCUCAUGCUGGAAGUACUCUGGAAUUCUCCUAUCCCCCCACCCUUUUCCAUCUCACUCCCUACUGCAGCCCCCAUGCUACUACUGCCUCUGCAAUGCAUCCCCACCCAGGGCAGCAUCCCUUAGGAAGCUUGGAGAGGCAACCCUCCUUCACUGCUACUGGAAAGUUCCUGCAUACAGCAUACUACUAAAGAAUCCAGGAAGUGGCUAGCAUUAUUAUAAAGGAAUAUAGUAAGCAAGUCUGGCUCACUGACAAGCAGAACAUAUGAAUAGAAUACAUACUUUAAAAAAUUAUACAUACUUUAAAAAUGAAGAUUAUAAACGUGUAGCAGUUUAGAAAAGGCAAUGUGCUACAGGUCUACUAUAACCACAAUUGCACAACAAUUUACAGAUUCAGUAAAAGGCAGGGUGAAAUCAACAGGGCCAUCGCUCAAACAUGGCAACCCAAGCGAGGCAGGAGACGUGUGACAAUACCAAAUGGAACUCUCAUUAUGCUAGGAGCUGUGAUCACCACCAAUAUCACCCCCAGAGGAGUUAUAAAGCCAAGGCGCACAAGGGGGCCCCUGGUGGCCGGUGGUGUGUGCAGGGGGUUGGGUGGCACGUCUGUGUUGGUGCCCACUGUCACGGUGCAAGCAUCAGCAAGAACUCAAGCAGGGAAGUCUGUGCUGAAAUACUAGCCUGUAUUCCUAAGGCCCAUGCAUAAGGUUCCAUUUUUGUACUGUACAUGAUAAAAUAUAUUUAUACAUUUAUAUGCCUAAUGCUUCUUAUGCAAAGAAAAGUCUUCAUAUAUCACUUUGGAGAAGUAUGCAUAUGCUGUGCUAAUCAGAGCAUCAUUACACCAAUUUCAUAUGUACCAAAGGUGGUCCCAACUAUUCCGUCUACCGAAGAAGGUAACGAAUAUAAUCACACUUUCCAGGUUAAACAGAAAGCACCUAUACAGCACCAUAACUGUUUGAAAACACAACAAAAUGAAAUCCAUAGAAGCAGAAAAAAAAGUUAAAACUGCCCUAUUUUGUACUUCCAUUGUGUCACUUGUACAAUUACAACCUAAGCUUAUAUUUAAAAAAUCAGUUUGUAUGCUAUUGCCUCUCACUCAUACACUUCUAGCAGAUCAGAUUAUACACAGCAAGGCUGAAAAUAAUUAAGGAUGUGUAUUAGGAAAACAGUGAAGUUAGAACUGCCUCAGCAUUGACUUGG